GCCCGCUCAGAAACUUAAAGGAAUUGACGGGGCCCGCACCAAGCAGCGGAGCGUGUGGUUUAAUUCGAUGAUACGCGAAGAACCUCACCCAGGUUUGACAUGCACGUGGUACUGAUCCGAAAGGUGAUGGACCCUUCGGGGAGCAUGCACAGGUGUUGCACGGCCGUCGUCAGCUCGUGCCGUGAGGUGUUGGGUUAAGUCCCGCAACGAGCGCAACCCCUGUCGCCAGUUGUAUUUUUCUGGCGAGACUGCCGAGAAAACCUCGGAGGAAGGAGGGGACGAUGUCAGGUCAGCGUGGCCCUUACGCCUGGGGCUACACACACGCUACAAUGGGCAGUACAACGGGUCGCGAAGCCGCGAGGUGGAGCCAAUCCCAUCAAAGCUGUCCUCAGUUCGGAUUGCAGGCUGAAACCCGCCUGCAUGAAGCCGGAGUUGCUAGUAACCGCAGGUCAGCAUUACUGCGGUGAAUACGUUCCCGGGCCUU
RNAcentral lists this ribosomal RNA (484 nucleotides) under uncultured Chloroflexota bacterium. RNAcentral describes it as "bacterial SSU rRNA". It matches the Rfam family "Bacterial small subunit ribosomal RNA", at positions 887 to 1382 of the family's 1533-position model. The record is from RNAcentral. Lineage: Bacteria; Bacillati; Chloroflexota.